CGGGGUGCAGCAGGCGCGAAAACUUUGCAAUGCGGGAAACCGUGACAAGGGAAUCUGAGUGCCCGUAAAAUCGGGCUGUCCAUCGGUUUAAAAAACCGGUGAAGAAAGGGCCGGGCAAGACCGGUGCCAGCCGCCGCGGUAAUACCGGCGGCUCGAGUGGUGGCCACUAUUACUGGGCUUAAAGCGUUCGUAGCUGGUUUGUUAAGUCUCUGGGGAAAUCUUCCGGCUUAACCGGAAGGCGUCUCAGGGAUACUGGCAGACUAGGGACCGGGAGAGGUGAGAGGUACUCCAGGGGUAGGAGUGAAAUCCUGUAAUCCUUGGGGGACCACCUGUGGCGAAGGCGUCUCACCAGAACGGCUCCGACAGUGAGGGACGAAAGCUGGGGGAGCAAACCGGAUUAGAUACCCGGGUAGUCCCAGCUGUAAACGAUGCGCGUUAGGUGUAUCAGCGACCACGAGUCGCUGAGGUGCCGAAGAGAAAUCGUGAAACGUGCCGCCUGGGAAGUACGGUCGCAAGGCUGAAACUUAAAGGAAUUGGCGGGGGAGCACAAGGGCGAAUUCGCG
This 563-nucleotide ribosomal RNA is filed under the name uncultured archaeon. RNAcentral's name for it is "bacterial SSU rRNA". It matches the Rfam family "Archaeal small subunit ribosomal RNA", at positions 326 to 899 of the family's 1478-position model. The record is from RNAcentral.